Long non-coding RNA from Gadus morhua (Atlantic cod), 1875 nucleotides. NCBI's taxonomy places the organism in Eukaryota, Metazoa, Chordata, Actinopteri, Gadiformes, Gadidae. The record is from Ensembl.
GCAUUUCUGAAGCCAAGCUCAGUGAACUGCUUGAGUGUGGCAAGUCUAACUUUAAUUGAAAUGAUUUUGUAUGGUCUGUAAAUCAACUUAAUGAACUGAUAUUCAGUAUUCCUUAAUGCAUUAUGACCAGUGUAGUAGUGGCUUUUGCCUAAAAAUCUUAUUUAAAGUUUGUCUGUUUAUUAACAUUAAUAUUCAAAUAUAUACAGCUUUUAACAGCUUUUCACAUGGCAUAGAAACACACUAACUCAUAACUAAUGCUGUUGCCUUAAGUAAAUGACCUAAAUGGUUCAUGGCAUGCUUUGGAGAAAAUGUGCUCAUCAUGUUUGUAUUCUCCAUAGGAUUCCAGAAGUUUGGCAUCUCCCUCAGCCAAUUGCCUAAUGCAAAGCUCUUUGAUGACUCCAAAACUGAGGUUGACCAUGAGGUGUUUGAAGAAGUGAUCGGUGCAAAUACUGGUGUUUAUGAGCUAUCCAUUGAUGGUGUCUCUGAAGGAGACCUUGGAGGUGCUCUUUUACCUGUUUGGAUGAAAAUGGUUCUCAAACUUUACGUAAAAUAUUGCUAUGCAGGUUUUGUUUCUGAGGCACCAGCUGUUGGCCAGUCGACACCAGCUGUCGACACCAGCUGUAAGUCAAGAGGACCCUGAUACUGACUCUACUGUCAUUCUGAGCGAUGAAAGUCCCCAGGGGAAACGGUCCAGACCAAAUAGUUCUGAUGCCCAUGCUGUAAGUAUCUUUUUUGUGGCAUAUUGGCUCGAAAUUAUUCAACCGUGUCCUGGCCUAUUGAGCCAUUUGUCUCAGAACACCAACAUACCUAGAGAAAGUUCCCAAAUGAAAGAUAAUUCAUGGCCUGUUGCCAGUUAUAUUUGCCCAACACAGUAAUCUGAUGGCAACUGGCAGUUGCUCUUAAUUAAUGCGCAAAAGCCUCCUGGAUCCAUUCACUUCAAGUUUAGCGUCAUGUGCUCGCAAAUAAGCAUUUAUCAGCAAGUCCUCCAUCCUGCUGUCUUGAGUUUUGCUGAAAAUGUGUGUGUGGUAGUCAUGUGCAAUGACUGCUGCAGGCUAAAAUAAGAGCUCCAUCUUAUUGUUGUUUUCCUAGUUGGUUGACGAAAUACUUCGCAAGAAACCUGGUGGUGAUAAUGUCAUUAGGGAGUAUGACAGAACAAAAAUGUUAUCAGACAGUACACGGCGGAAAACGGUGAACAUUCUAGUAGCUGAAAUGAUGGAGAAGCAUGGGCGAGUGUCAUGAGUAUUGAACACAGAAUCUCUUCUUAGGCUAUGCUAAGUAUGUGAUUAAUAAGACAGAAUGUUUGUUUCCUCAGAAAAAUGCCACCACGCCAUAUAAGAGAAAUGCAUCUUGAGCUCUUUCCAUACCUGAGGGAUCCCCAAGCCAAACAUGGCUAUGUAAGUUGUUUGACAUUUGUGCACCCCCAACACACAAACUCGUCCAUACAUGUUACUCACUUGUUGACCCUUCAUCUUUUUGCAGCUCUGAACAGCCUUUUAAACUUUUGUUUCACCGAUAGGAACUUUACUAUGAUUCCCAGAGCGGCCAGGGUUACCUCAGUUGGCGAAUAAAGACGGUCCAGAGAAACAACUCGCACAAUCUCCAUCAAGACAUUUGAUGGAGGUCAAAUGUCUUGCAGACACCUCACAACACUCUGAUGAAGACUGCGUCAAUGCAAUCUCCCUGAUGAAGCAUAGUGUUGAUGAAGAAACAGUCAAGCAGAAAAUGAGGAGUACCUUUCGGUAUCGAAGGAAUAUGGUUGAAGAUCCUGAAAGAUGUGGCGAUGUCCUGGCAGAAUACCCACGUUUUAAAGAUGUGAAAGGCCUAGUAAGUAGGGCUGGGCGAUAUAUCGAAUAUAUGCGAUGUAUCGCGAGAUGU